This 492-nucleotide ribosomal RNA is filed under the name uncultured bacterium. Its description in RNAcentral is "partial 16S ribosomal RNA". It matches the Rfam family "Bacterial small subunit ribosomal RNA", at positions 29 to 507 of the family's 1533-position model. The record is from RNAcentral.
AGUGAACGCUGGCGGUAGGCCUAACACAUGCAAGUCGAACGGCAGCACAGUAAGAGCUUGCUCUUACGGGUGGCGAGUGGCGGACGGGUGAGGAAUACAUCGGAAUCUACUUUUUCGUGGGGGAUAACGUAGGGAAACUUACGCUAAUACCGCAUACGACCAACGGGUGAAAGCAGGGGAUCUUCGUACCUUGCGCGAUUGAAUGAGCCGAUGUCGGAUUAGCUAGUUGGCGGGGUAAAGGCCCACCAAGGCGACGAUCCGUAGCUGGUCUGAGAGGAUGAUCAGCCACACUGGAACUGAGACACGGUCCAGACUCCUACGGGAGGCAGCAGUGGGGAAUAUUGGACAAUGGGCGCAAGCCUGAUCCAGCCAUACCGCGUGGGUGAAGAAGGCCUUCGGGUUGUAAAGCCCUUUUGUUGGGAAAGAAAAGCAGCAGGUUAAUACCCCGCUGUUCUGACGGUACCCAAAGAAUAAGCACCGGCUAACUUCGUG